RNAcentral lists this long non-coding RNA (1383 nucleotides) under Sinocyclocheilus anshuiensis. RNAcentral's name for it is "lncRNA (ENSSANG00000018181.1)". Lineage: Eukaryota; Metazoa; Chordata; Actinopteri; Cypriniformes; Cyprinidae. The record is from RNAcentral.
UUUUCAAGGUAGAUGCACUGAAAAUAUUCUUCUGUACUUAGGGAUCAUCCUUAAAGUGGCUUUAUCCGUUGGGAAAUUACCUUAGUGACAUUAUUGGAAUGGAAAUUGAGAAAAAUAUAAAAGAUCUGUUACAUCCAUUGGUCAGUAAUUACCCAGACAUAAGGUAAGUGUUAUAAUAACUUUGAAUAUAUUACUAUUUUAAAACAAUACACUGUCUUGUUCACUUUACUAAUGCAUGUAGUAUAGCUAUCAUGGAUUUAACUUUUCAUUUCUAGCAAGAAGCAGUUGUCAGCUGUUCUGUCCUUCAGAGACAAUGGUUUUAGCUUGGAGAAGCACAAUGUUAUUAAUCACUUUACUGUGCUUAAACGGGAUGCUGGAAACACAAAUCAUGAGCACUCCUUCUUCACUGACAUUGAGUGAGUUUUCUUUUGGCAAUUCUGAUGCUUCAAGAACCAUCAUAGGGGAAAAAAAGAUUGCAUCAUUUUUAAAAAAUGUGUACAGUACAUUUUCUUGUUAGAAUAUACAGGCAUUAUUAGUGUAUUUGGUGCAUGAUUACUUACAUGUGCUGUCUAUGUACUGGUAAAAAUGAUCUGAAAAGACAGACAUGUAGGCUGUGUUGGAGUUUAGUGAUCUCCAUUGUGAUAUUCUGCUCAAAUUAAAGAGCAAUACAGCUUGUCUGUGUUCCUUCAUGAGGCAACUUGUGCUAUUUGCCUUUAACAAUCCCUUAUUUUAGAGCAAUAUAAUCGUGAUUAUCAAUUUAACCAUUGGUUGUUUGUACUUUUACUUACCAAUAGAGGGAGACAUUAAACUAUAGACGCAAUAUUUGCAUUUCCUCCAUAUUGCCUAAUCAUGCAAAAACAGACUUGAUGGAUUCAGUCUGUUUAUCUACUGUGAUAUCAAUCAUGUAAAUGUGAUGUAUAAAACAUGUCAGAUAAAACCGAGUGUGUGCUGUGCAAUAUUAACUCCAGAUGGACCAAGCUCUUGCAGCAAAACCGAUUGGUUAUUUACUGUAGAUCUUGUCCUUCCCUCUUCUUGUUUGAUGCAAAUUUUAAACCUUUUUUUAGCCUAAACCUAAUAUACUCUCUGAUUUUAUCAGUGAGAAAAAAAACUUGGAGAUAAAACCUGUAACUACAGUGUGUCAAUGAACAGAUAUUUCCUUUCAUAUGAUGUUUGUACUGUCCAGUUUUGGGGAUAUUUCUAGAGAUUCGGAUGUGAAAUGCCACAUUUGUUUACAUAUUGAUGUUUGAUUUUGUCUUGUAGCCUACUAUCUGUAAUCUCUUACGGGAUAAACUUAAAUAUAUGUGCAUGACAAUUAAACAUAUUUUUAUACCUUUCCACAUGCAAAUAGAUUGUAUUUGUUUGUCUGCGUGAGAGAGUGUGUUA